GCUUGCUCGACCUCAAAUAUACCAUGCUGGAUGUCUGCCUCAGGCAGACUCUUCUGGUAAUUUUUAGCUAAAAUAAUUCAACUGUCUCCUAGAAUGAGAUUAGAAAGAUGUAUGUUAGCUUGCUCUGUUCAAAUCAAGAGAUCAAGCAUCUGGCUUCAGAGGCUGGUACUGAUACUCAGCCAGGGAAGGGGGAUGUGCCUUUGCAAGGGUCCUAAGUUCCCCCACCUGUAGUGAAGUUACAAGUUAUACAAAGCCUCACUCUGCAUGUGCCUCAUGGGGGCUUGUUUGAGUUUGGUAGAUUAUUUAUCUGAGGACCCCAUCUGUUUUGGUCUUGCUGCAGGCCAGGGACACAGGUGCUGCCUACCAUCACCAAUGCUGAGGGCUGCCAUCAGCUGUGGCCUUGAAGGUGAAGCAGGGAUCCUCUCAUCCUGCACAUCUGCAAUUCUACAGAUAUUGCUCCUUUGGCAAAGAGCAUCCCAGUGUUGAGAUGAUGAGUUUUUAAGGCAGAGCUGCAACAAACGCCUUGUGAAGCCCAGCCAGCAGCCCCCAGCCCCCUUCUUCCCCUCCUCAAAGUUCACACGGUUUAGUAUGCAAGCUUCCUGCUGCCUGCCCAGCCAGCUCACUAUUCACAGGCGAACUGCGCUCCUCCGCUUGGCUCCCGAAGAAGAAUAAGUAUAAAAAGCCCUGAAAGUCUUGCUGCUGAGCCAGCAGGAAACUCAAACUGCUCUGAGCAUGGGAACCAAGAGAAAUGCUGUGGCCAGCACAACAGUCUUUCUUAACAGAGAUGCUCCAAAGAAAUAAACCUGAGAGCAAUAGGUCAUAUCACCCAACUCAGCACCCCUUGCAAUCACUUCAAGGAGAAGCAGCUGUGAAAAGCCCCCAAAAGAGAAUGUGUGGCCCCAAGUCUUUGGAUAAACACCAAAAAGCAGUUUGGAAACCUGGCUGAAACAAGCUGAUUCUCCAGAGUCUGUAACACCAGUGGAAAAUGUGGCUAAGAGCGUACUUCUGCUAUUAGCAGCUUUCCCAUAAUAGGUUUUUCCUGUGCUAUCUGGGAGUUCCAGGCUCCUCGGGACUUCUGCAGUGCUCCUACCCUGAAAGUCCACUGCAGAGUCAUGGCUGAAGGAGGUAGAUCUGAACUCUUACCUCCUGGGCUCCCAAUUAAAAAGUCCUCUGAAAACAGAGGUAUCUUAAAACUCAGCCUAAAACUAACUGCCUUAGUGACCCUGGCAUGGGCGCUGAGCAGAGAUGAAGGCCUGGUGAGCCAAGCAGUAGGAAAGGCAGCUGCUUGGUGCAGAGAUAAUCUGGGAUGUUCAGAGCAGCCACAUGGAGCCAAGAAUGGAAAACAUGACCAGUCCUUUGUGGUAGAAGGGACAAGAGUCAGAUGCAGAUUUUAGUCAGCAUUGCAAAGCUCAGAGAUUCCAACCAGAGCUUCUCCCUGCUACGGCCACCUGGAAGAAAACAAAGCAGUCCCUGGGGAGCAGCAGCCCCUCAGCCCCUGGAGCUGCCCGCUUUCCAUCCUGCAGAAUGGGGACAUGAAGCAGAGGCACUCACUCCUCUCCUCACCUGUCUCCACUCAAAGAGUACUUUGAGGAAAGGGAAUUAAACUGCAGUACAGCAUUCCUGUGCAGCAGAUGGGCUGCACUGUGGAUCACUCCUGCCCCAGGGAAUGUUGUAUGUACACUGCACAGCUGCAUGGCUUCCCCAUGCCCUUGCAUAUUUUUAAAUGCU
Molecule: long non-coding RNA, 1728 nt
Organism: Passer domesticus (house sparrow)
Lineage: Eukaryota; Metazoa; Chordata; Aves; Passeriformes; Passeridae
Exons: 3
Source: RefSeq, a predicted model, not a curated record